CCUACGGGAGGCAGCAGUGGGGAAUAUUGGACAAUGGGCGCAAGCCUGAUCCAGCAAUGCCGCGUGGAUGAAGAAGGUCUUCGGAUUGUAAAGUCCUUUCGGCGGGGACGAUGAUGACGGUACCCGCAGAAGAAGCCCCGGCUAACUUCGUGCCAGCAGCCGCGGUAAUACGAAGGGGGCUAGCGUUGCUCGGAAUGACUGGGCGUAAAGGGCGCGUAGGCGGACAUAUUAGUCAGGCGUGAAAUUCCUGGGCUUAACCUGGGGGCUGCGUUUGAUACGGUGUGUCUAGAGUGGGGAAGAGGGUUGUGGAAUUCCCAGUGUAGAGGUGAAAUUCGUAGAUAUUGGGAAGAACACCGGUGGCGAAGGCGGCAACCUGGUCCUUGACUGACGCUGAGGCGCGAAAGCGUGGGGAGCAAACAGGAUUAGAUACCCUGGUAGUCCACGCUGUAAACGAUGUGCGCUGGAUGUGGUCGAGCUACGCUGUCUAGUGUCGUAGCGACGCGAUAGCGCACCGCCGUCGGGAGGUACGGCCGCGAGGUUAGAACGUACGAAGUAAGUAAGUUAGUUACGGCGUGAGACGUGCCGACGGCGACGACGAGGGAGGUUAGG
This 609-nucleotide ribosomal RNA is filed under the name uncultured bacterium. Its description in RNAcentral is "bacterial SSU rRNA". The stretch from base 1 to 516 matches the Rfam family "Bacterial small subunit ribosomal RNA", at positions 338 to 873 of the family's 1533-position model. The record is from RNAcentral.